Molecule: ribosomal RNA, 138 nt
Filed under: uncultured Ochromonas
Lineage: Eukaryota; Chrysophyceae; Chromulinales; Chromulinaceae
Description: partial Bacterial small subunit ribosomal RNA
Rfam family: Bacterial small subunit ribosomal RNA
Source: RNAcentral
AUUAAGAAUUUGAUCCUGGUUCAGGAUGAACGCUAGCAAUACACUUAACACAUGCUAGUCUAAUGUAAUGAUACUUUCGUUACAUGGCGUACAGGUGAGUAAUACAUAGGAAUCUGCCUUACAGUCUUGAAUAAAUAA